This 73-nucleotide transfer RNA is filed under the name Catenuloplanes atrovinosus. RNAcentral describes it as "tRNA-His". It matches the Rfam family "tRNA". Rfam says of the family: Transfer RNA (tRNA) molecules are approximately 80 nucleotides in length. Their secondary structure includes four short double-helical elements and three loops (D, anti-codon, and T loops). Lineage: Bacteria; Bacillati; Actinomycetota; Actinomycetes; Micromonosporales; Micromonosporaceae. The record is from RNAcentral.
GUGACCGUAGCUCAGUGGUAGAGCGCCGGACCGUGGCUCCGGAGGCCGUUCGGUUCGAUCCCGACCGGUCACC